RNAcentral lists this ribosomal RNA (483 nucleotides) under uncultured bacterium. RNAcentral describes it as "partial 16S ribosomal RNA". It matches the Rfam family "Bacterial small subunit ribosomal RNA", at positions 30 to 507 of the family's 1533-position model. The record is from RNAcentral.
AUUGAACGCUGGCGGCAGGCCUAACACAUGCAAGUCGAGCGGAUGAAGGGAGCUUGCUCCUGGAUUCAGCGGCGGACGGGUGAGUAAUGCCUAGGAAUCUGCCUGGUAGUGGGGGAUAACGUCCGGAAACGGGCGCUAAUACCGCAUACGUCCUGAGGGAGAAAGUGGGGGAUCUUCGGACCUCACGCUAUCAGAUGAGCCUAGGUCGGAUUAGCUAGUUGGUGGGGUAAAGGCCUACCAAGGCGACGAUCCGUAACUGGUCUGAGAGGAUGAUCAGUCACACUGAAACGGGGAAACGGUCCAAAUUCUAAGGGGAGGAAGAAGUGGGAAAUAUUGGAAAAUGGGCGAAGGCCUAAUCAAGCAAGGCGGGGGGUGGAAAGAAGGUCUUCGAAUUGUAAGCACUUUAAGUUGGGAGGAAGGGCAGUAAGUUAAUACCUUGCUGUUUUGACGUUACCAACAGAAUAAGCACCGGCUAACUUCGUG